Molecule: non-coding RNA, 1035 nt
Organism: Lolium perenne
Lineage: Eukaryota; Viridiplantae; Streptophyta; Magnoliopsida; Poales; Poaceae
Source: RefSeq, a predicted model, not a curated record
UCCAAGGUGAUCUUUUUAUAAAUUAUUCUUUCAUGAGUUUGUCGAUUGUUGUUUCUAAAUUUAUUGAAAUUUUCUUUCUAGCUGAGUUUUUUUCUUCAUUUUGGCAGAUCAUUGACUCAUACAAUCACCCGCUAUACUUGUACCGUAUAUCAAUUAACCAAUGUUCCUAGGGAGACAAUCUGGUGGAGGUCUACUACGCCGCCAAGCCGGGGCUGAUGAUGUCGAGUGUCAAUACCCUCUCUGCGCUACAUCCAGCAGUUUAUCGUCAGCUGAUUCAUUACCUUCACCAUGCACAUCUCCUGCUUUGUUGUAGUUCAUUCACCGCCAUGGCUGUUUCUUCUUCUACAGCUGUAUCAGUUAGUUCACCAUGAAUUCGUCAAUUGGUUCAGUAACCUGAAAAGUUUCAAACGGUGAUGCAGAGUAUAGAUGCCAGCGCGCUGUUCAGACAUGGAAGGCCUAAUAUAUCAUUUGAAUGGUGGAUCAUGUGUCACAAGCAGUGCUGCUGUUGUACAGUCCAUCAUCGUGCGGUUACGUCACAGGCAUGUGGUGCAUGUGAAGCACAUUGAAGAGGAUGAGAUACAAGAGGCAGAUGAUAGUGAGAUGGAUGGGAGGUUUAGUUGAUGUGGCUGUGCCCGUCUAGGGGACUGGUGAGGUGGCAGCACAUAUUGGAGAUAAUACUCUUCUUUCAGGUCGGGCUAGCAGCUCAAUGUACACUCAUUGUCUAAAGUGCAACAAAUAAGAAGUUUUCCCACGGAACUAUUGCCAGCUAAUAUAAUUAAUCUACAACGAGUGAACUCCAGCUAAAGGUCAAACGAGCAAGAGCCCAGAUUGAUGAGCCAAGUAGUUUAUGUGCAAAAUUAUAUUUUGUCUCCAGGCACGCCAUGAAGUCUUGGUCACCCAUCUUCCGCUAUAGCCAGUGUGAAUUGCACGCAGCUAAUGUAAUAUUGAGUGCCUAUGCAUAAUUAUGAAACUGUAAUAUAAUGUAUAACGCUAAGUAGACGUAUGACCAUGACAAGUGCCAUCACGUGAGGUAAU